AGGGUUUGAUCAUGGCUCAGGACGAACGCUGGCGGUGCGCCUUAUGCAUGCAAGUCGAGCGAAGCUUUUCAGUAGUUUACUACAGAAAAUGACUGAGCGGCGAACGGGUGAGUAACGCGUGAGCAAUCUACCUUAGUUACAGGGAUAGCCCGAGGAAACUCGGAUUAAUACCUGAUAUUCUUUACAUUUCGCAUGAAAUCAAAAGGAAAGGUCAGCCGAACUAAGAUGAGCUCGCGUUCUAUCAGCUAGUUGGUGAGGUAAAAGCUCACCAAGGCAACGACGGAUAGCUGGUCUGAGAGGACGAUCAGCCACACUGGGACUGAGACACGGCCCAGACUCCUACGGGAGGCUGCAGCAGGGAAUAUUGCGCAAUGGGGGCAACCCUGAUCCAGCUAUGCCGCGUGUGUGAAGAAGGCUCUAGGGUUGUAAAGCACUUUAGGUAAGGACGAAAAGAAUAUAGUUAAUACCUAUAUUCCGUGACUUAACUUACAGAAUAAGGACCGGCUAACUCCGUGCCAGCAGCCGCGGUAAUACGGAGGGUCCAAGCGUUAAUCGGAAUUACUGGGCGUAAAGCGCGCGUAGGCGGUUUGUCAAGUUGGAUGUGAAAUCCCUGGGCUCAACCUAGGAACUGCAUUCAAAACUUAUAGACUAGAGUACGAUAGAGGAGAGUAGAAUUCCUGGUGUAGCGGUGAAAUGCGUAGAUAUCAGAGGAAUACCAAUGGCGAAGCAACUCUCUGGAUCGACACUGACGCUGAGGUGCGAAAGCGUGGGUAGCAAACAGGAUUAGAUACCCUGGUAGUCCACGCCGUAAACGAUGAGAACUAGCCGUUGGAUCUUAGAUUCAGUGGUACAGCUAACGCAUUAAGUUCUCCGCCUGGGGGAGUACAGCCGCAAGGCUAAAACUCAAAUGAAUUGACGGGGACCCGCACAAGUAGUGGAGCAUGUGGUUUAAUUCGAAGAUACGCGCAGAACCUUACCAACACUUGACAUGUUCGUCGCGACUUUGAGAGAUCAAAGUUUUCGGUUCGGCCGGACGAAACACAGGUGCUGCAUGGCUGUCGUCAGCUCGUGUCGUGAGAUGUUGGGUUAAGUCCCGCAACGAGCGCAACCCUCACUUUUAGUUGCCAUCAUUAAGUUGGGCACUCUGAAAGAACUGCCAGUGAUAAGCUGGAGGAAGGUGGGGAUGACGUCAAGUCCUCAUGGCCCUUACGUGUUGGGCUACACACGUGCUACAAUGGUAUCUACAACAGGAAGCAAGACUGCGAAGUUAAGCAAAUCCUUAAAAGAUACCUCAGUUCGGAUUGCACUCUGCAACUCGAGUGCAUGAAGCUGGAAUUACUAGUAAUCGUGGAUCAGCGUGCCACGGUGAAUGCGUUCCCGGGUCUUGUACACACCGCCCGUCACACCAUGGGAGUUGGUUCUACCUUAAGGCAAGGUUUCAAACCCUUGACCACGGUAUAGUCAGCGACUGGGGUGAAGUCGUAACAAGGUAGCCGUA
Molecule: ribosomal RNA, 1498 nt
Filed under: uncultured bacterium
Lineage: Bacteria
Description: partial 16S ribosomal RNA
Rfam family: Bacterial small subunit ribosomal RNA
Source: RNAcentral